Molecule: ribosomal RNA, 1224 nt
Filed under: Alectorobius puertoricensis
Lineage: Eukaryota; Metazoa; Arthropoda; Arachnida; Ixodida; Argasidae
Description: 16S ribosomal RNA
Source: RNAcentral
UUUAAAAUUAAAUUGUUAUAAUUUUAUAAAUAGGGAUAUGGUCUUUUUAAUGCAAUUGAAUAAUUUUGGUAAAACAAUAGAUUAUUGUAUUGUGAGAGAACUUUGAAAAAAUGAAAAAUAAUUAAUUGUAAAGAAAUGAAAUUGUACCUUUUGUAUUAGGGAUUAAUUAAAUAAAUUAUGAAUUUAUAAUUCCCGAAAAAUUUUGAGCUACUGCAAUUAUAGAAUAUUGUUUCAGAAAUAUAAAAAAUUGUUGUAGAAAUGAAAUUUUAAACGAAAAGUUUGAUAUCUGGUUUUUAAGAAAAAUUACAUAUUUUAUAUAAUUUUUAUUAUUUAAUAAAAGUUAUUGAUUUUUUCUUUGGGGAUAAGCUUUAAGAAAUUUUUAUAAAGUUUUUUCUUUUUUGUAAGGGGUUUAGAAAUUACUAAAUAUUUGUAAUAAAGUAACAGAUAUAAGGAUAUUUUUUAUUUAAUUAAUUUUUUAUUUAAUUUAAAAUAAAAGAUUUUAUAUUGAUAUGAGUAUAAGUUUUAACGUUUUUUGAAAAGUUAAGUUUUAUUUUGGCUAUUUUAAUAAAUUAUUAGGAACUAGGCAAAAAGAAUUUUUGACUGUUUAACAAAAACAUUGUAUUUUGAAUUAAUAAAUUAUUAGACCUGCUCAAUGAUUUUUAAAUUGCUGUGGUAUUAUGACUAUACGAAGGUAUUGAAAUAAGGUUUUUAUUGAGUGCUAAGAGAAUGGUUAAACAAGGAUUAGCUUUCUUUUAAUUUAAAAUGGAAUUUAAUUUAAAAGUGAAAAAGCUUUUAUUAAUGUUUGGGACAAGAAGACCCUAUGAAUUUUUUUUACAAGUUUAUUUAAAAUUUUAAAAAGUAAAUAAAAUAUUGUUGUAAGUUAAUUGGGGUGAUUUUUAAAAUUAAAUAACUUUAAAAAUUGGAGGAAUUAGAACCACAACUUGUGGUUAAUUGAGUAAAAUACUCUAGGGAUAACAGCGUUAUUAUUUUGGAUAGUUCAUAUAGAUAAAAUAGUUUGCGACCUCGAUGUUGGAUUAAGAUACUUGUAUAAUGCAGCAGUUAUAUGAGGGAGUUUGCUCAACUUUUAAAUUCUUACAUGAUCUGAGUUCAGACCGGUGUGAACCAGGUCGGUUUCUAUCUAAAUUAGUUUUAAUUACUUUUAUAGUACGAAAGGAAUUAAAGGUGUAAAAUUUUUAAAAUAGGUUUGUUAAAAUGAAUUUAAUU